AUGCUCACUUGGGCAGCACAUAUACUGAAAUUGGAAUGAUACAGAAGUGAGCAUGGUUCCUGCAUAAGGAUGACAUGAAAAUGUAUGAAGUGUUUCCAUAUUUU
Jaculus jaculus (lesser Egyptian jerboa) is the source of this 104-nucleotide small nuclear RNA. The record is from Ensembl. Lineage: Eukaryota; Metazoa; Chordata; Mammalia; Rodentia; Dipodidae.